AAGGCAGCACCAGGAGAGAAACAGCUGUGCAGUGUGAUUUGGGAAGUGAACGUCUGAGUGCAAACUCAUCUCUAACACUACAGCAAUAGAUUAGAUUUGGGAUCAGAGUGUUUUGCAGAGCUCCUGGUAGGAGCUGCUCUCUGGAGCCACAGCUCUGCAGUUAUUUGCCCUCUGGAGAUGCAUAUUUAUUUGAAUUAACUUCACAGGGAGCCUAGACAGUGCUAGCUGAGGCCUGGCUAGCUGACUGUUAGGUGUGUAAAACUAGGUGGCAUAAAUUUGCCCUCACAGCUAUAAGUAGUGAGGUGAGAGUUAAGCUCACCCUGGGGAAAGACAAAGAUGGGAACGCAUGCCCAAAACCAGCCUGGGAUUUGAGUGUGGUGAGCACCUCUCUUGUGUUGGUAACUCUAAACGCAGCGGUUGCUUUGAUUUACUGUUGGUUUGUCACAGUGAUGAUCUUUGUGGCAUCAUCCAGGGCACUGCCUGCUCUGAACAAUAUGAGGAGUUGGACUUCAUACACACAACCACACAACCAGGGGUUGCAUCCAAGAUGGAGUUGGGGGUUAAAAUGAUGCUGUUCUGUGUUGUCUGAGAUAGCAGAGAAAAUGCAGUAAGUACACAGCCUGCUUGCUGGAGCAAAGUGCUGCAAGGGACAGACAGAUGGCUGGUGCUGGUAUGGUGCACAGAGCUCCCAGCCAGAAUUAGAGCUCUGAGGUCUGUUUUGAACUUUGUUAAUAUAAAACUCUCUCACUUCUCUGCUUUCUUAACUGCUAUGACAAACCAAACUAACCAACCCUUCUGAAGCCCUAAUGCUCCUUUUGCAGCUACUUCAGACCUCUGCCAUCUCCCAUUGUUUCUGUUCUGGUGAUUUGGUCUGUGGACUUCAGUGAGCUUUCAGUGAUGCUGUUGCUGCUGUUGUUUUUAAAGAAGCAAUGCCCAAAGGGUUCCAGACUGAAAAGGGCUCACACUUGCAUCGUGAUCAGGAACAGGUCAGGGGUGUUCCUCAUUCUCACUUGGCCCCAAGUGUGAGGUGAGCUGCUUUUUGCAGGAGCAGACUGGCAUCACACCCAGAUGCCUUUGGUUCCCACUUGCCUUAUUACUAAUCCAGAAAGAAAAAUUGGAGUGGUGGGGCUGGGUCAUGUAUUGUGCACCAAAUAGCAGAAGAGAUAAAUGGGCAGGGCGCUGCAGGUGCAAACUUCUCUUCCUGCCGUUGCACAUUUUUCUUAUUCUGGAUAAGUCAGAGCACCCUGGCCUCCGCUGGGGUCUGCAGGCACAGCUCUGAUGGAAGAGGUAGCAGGAGGGCUGUCGGAACAGUGACUGUGGUGUUUUAAAGUAGCAGCUGAGCACAAAUGUUUGCUGUUGGGCUUCUUGGGAGAAGGGGCACAGGUAGAUACAGCUCCCACAUUGCUUCUGUUAGCUGGCUUCUGUUGUGAAUCCUGAAACCUCAGGCUUCCUGUACUGACUGCAGAUUUUCACCUCACUAGGGAAUUUGCAAUGCUUGGUUGUCGUACUGUAAUACUUGAAUAAACCUUCUUUUUGUCUCUGGGUGAGCACUUGCACUUCUCCCUUCCUGCUCUGUGUGAUUCUAGUCUUUCAACUGACUUUUGUCUCCAAAACUUCAGGGAGUGAUGCACCAAAAGAAACACUGGUCGCUCCACCAGAGAAGAGUACCAUUCAGGAGGGAGAAUAUCCGAUCCCUGAAGAUGCCUGGUACACAGAUGGGUCCAGCAAGGGCAACCCGAGCAAGUGGAGAACAAUAGCGUACCAUCCUGCCACCAAGACGAUCUGUUUCGACGAGGGGGAUGGUCAGAGCAGCCAAUGGGCAGAACUGCGAGCUGUGUGGAUGGUUAUAACCAGGGGACCUGGUGAUGGUAUCCUGAACAUCUGCACAGAUAGUUGGGCUGUGUACCGGGGGCUCACUCUUUGCAUUGCACAGUGGGCCACCCAGGAAUGGACUAUCCACCCCCAUGAUCUGGGACAAGGACAUGUGGUUAGACAUACUGAAUGCAGUCAAACACAGGACUGUACGUGUCUACCAUGUUUCUGGUCAUCAGCCCAGUGGCUGGCCUGCUUGCACCUUGGGGAAGAUUGUUGGUGGUGGGAAGCUCAGCAGUCCCUCCAGUAACAGGUACAUGGCCUACUGAUGUUGUGGUCAACACUCCUAUCUUCAUUGCUAAAGGGACCCCCAUCAUGUGCCUGUGGCAGAUCAGGACACCUCCUUUGGUGCCUGAUAUUGUGAUGCACCGCAGACAUCCAUCCAGAAGCUGUGGUACAGGCGGCCAGGACGUGCCCAGUUCCAGCCCAAGUGUUGACCAAGGACAGAAAUACAGCCUGUAUCUCGCCCUGGAGAGCAGACCUUCCCCUACUGGUACCCCGAAACAUCUGUAUUUCUCCCCAUGAGUCUUUGAGCCUUCAGGAUCACUGGAAGGAACGCAAUGCCAUCAAUGCUGCUGUCAGAUCUCAUGCAGCGCCCGGAGAUGGUCUGCAUGGCACUGAUGGAGCAUAGGAUAGACCUGCAGCUCACGGCCACGUGCCUCCAGUGACACCGUCGAGCUCUGGCCCAUAACAGAAUAUCAACGUUCGCUGGCCGUCACUCGUCUUGAGUCGUACCAGCACGCAUCGCGAUGCAUCGGAUCUCUGCCAUAGAAAAGCUCACCCUGCAGUCAAAUCGACAUUGGCUCAUGCCGUGAAGGCAGUUCACCUGUGUUGCUGGGAGGGGUGGAGCCUCUCCAGGAUCCCACUGAAGUGCUGACUGCCCCUGGGGAAGGAUCUCUUGCUGGAGAUUACUGUCAUGUUGAAUAUUGCGAGCCUACGACAUCAGCUCAUGAGCAGGUUGUGGAGAACCACAGAGCUGCAGCCAGGAAAUUGCUGAUGAAGGAAUCCCAGCAAGCACAGGGUGAAAGAGUGGCUGCCAGGAAAUAGGAGCUGGAGCAGAUAGGGUGAAGCAGGGGCGCGUCCUCAGAGCUCGGUGUCCUCACAGCUCUGGCUGUGAGGAGGACCUCAGUCCUGGUCCCUCGGGUCCAUGGGUCCCAGCACAGCCAUCCCACAUGGUGCAGCCAUUGUCUUGCUGUAGAAGCAGCUCAUUGCCCAGCUGGAAAAGCAGCUGCAGACUGAGACCAAGGAGAUCAAGGUGCUGUGCCAGGAAAAACAACGCCUGCAAGAGGAGCUGGAGGAGCUGGAGGUGGAGAAUGCCUGCAGCAUCAGAUGGAGCUGGAGGCAGCCCACGUGCCUGGAGCUGUGCUGCUGGAGCUGGUGGAGGCACAGCUGGACCUGAACAGGAUGUACCAGGACACGUUUCAGAUGAACCAGCUACUGAACUCUAUUUGGUGCAGUCCAUCCAGACAGACCACCCUGUCCACCCCUGGGAUACCAGUGGGGCUCCGGCAUGGGAAGCAGCUGCAGGUUUGGCAUGGCUCUCUCUGGAGGCACUUCUGCAAGCAAAGAACCACGAAAGCUUUCUAUCAUCUGUGUCACGCGUAACGGCACAGUGCCAUCUGAGGAGCAGAUGGUACCAGGGGAUGGUGCAGGGACAGGGCACGCACGUGCAGCUCUGUGCUCUCACUCCUGCAGGCGUGCCUGGCUGACAUUAGGGCUGUGAGCUGGCAGCUCACAAAGGAAGUAAAAAGCCAUGACAUACUCAUACCGUCUGCUAGAGCUUCCAUCCGGGGAGCCAGCUGGGAUUCUGCAUCCCAUUCAUCUCCACUCACAUCUGUAAACAAACAGGACAGAGCAGCUCAUAUCAAACACGUCCAUAUCCACAUCCAGAUGGAAACAAGGAGGGAUCGCUCCACAGCACCCUUCUCUCCCUUCCACACAGCAGCAUCUCAGCCGUACAUGCCAGGUGCCUGCAGUGGCACUGUGCUGAUACACAACAAUCCAUGUGUGGAACUGUCUGGAGACGGGGAGGGGAAGAGAACUGAAAGGGGACAAAGAGGGGAGGAAAAUAGAACGGUAGGGGGAGCCCCAAAGGCUCUGUCCUGGCAGUGUUCCUGAGGUUCCACCUCAGGAACAAAAGCUGUGUCUGACCAGAACACUGGAUAGAAAGGACCAGUGUAGUCAUCUAGAAUCACAAUCAGAUAAGAGAAGUUCCCAUUAAAUCUGUGAUCACUUUUUCCAUCAAAGACCAGAGCUGGGUCAGGUAAUGAGAUGGGAUAAACAUCCAGGUUGUCAGUUCCACAGCUGCAGUGGAACAGGGAGACCCACCGGCUGGCCACAGGCAGGUUGCAAAACACUCUGCAGGCCACGUGCAGUACCAUCAUGGACCGCACAGACCAACAUUUGGGCACUCAGGUCUUACUUACCACUGCAGAUCAGUGGUGGACACAAAGGGAGGUGACACUAAAACACAAGAGGAAAAUAUGUAGCCAGAACUUUGCUCUCCAGAAGUUCAGAGUCCUGCUCCACUUUUUGCCAGAUCUGUAUUCUUCAAGAUCACAAACUCCAUCAAGGCAUUCAUUACAGCCCAGGCUGCCUCCAGUCUUAACCUCUCCAAUGCUCUCCUCUGCACUGGUGAGCACCAAGUCCAGUAAGGCUUGACACCAGGUCGGUCCAUCUGUUACUGGACCAGGAGGUCGGCUUUGGCAGACUCCAGCAAUCUCCUCUACUGUCUGCCCCCUGCUGUGCUGCUCUCCCAGCAGGUAUCCAGGCAGUUGAAAUCCCCCAUCAGGACAAGAGCCUGCGAGCGUGACACCUCUUGCAGCUGAAGCAAGAAGGGCUCGUCAACAGCUUCCUCCUGAUCGGGUGGGCUGCAGCAGACUCCGACCACCGGGUGCUCUUCGCUGGGCCGGUCCUUGAUUUUUACCCACAGCUCUUGACCCAAUCACAGCCAUUCCUCAGACACAGCUCCUCGCAGUCCAUCCGCUCCUAGCACAGGGCAGCUCCCUUGCCAUAGCUGCCUCCCCUUCCCUCCCCUUUCCACCCCCCUCCCCUCCCUUUUCCACCCCCCUCCCCUCCUGUCCCCUCCCCUCCCCUGUGUCCUUUGGGCUCAUGAAAGCUAUUUUCAUCCCGGUGUAGAUGUGGGUGUAUUCUCCUGCAGUCCUGCGCUGCCUGUGGGAUGCAGAGUAUCAAAGAAGAAAGCACCAGUAGCUUGUCAGUCUGUGAUUUAUGUUGGUUGUACCAUCCCCAGGGAUACCAAAGCUUGGGGAUGACCUCAGCUGCACAUCAGUACAGAUAUUAAACAUGGGCCCCAAUCCCGACCCCUGGGGAAUGUGAGAGGCGCUCAACUCCAAUGACUUCUGAUCAGGAAAUGAUCUCAGUGAAGCAGCAAAGUUUUUAUUCAUUACUGCAACAAUGGGUGGGCAGCCCCCUUAUGGCAGGGAGACAUUGGGCGCACGAUCAGUUGAACACUUCUCAUUAUAUAUGAACACUAUAUUAUAUAUCUUUCUCCCAUCCCAGGUUUUUACUGUUUCCUACUGGCCAAGUACUCCAGGCGUACAAUCCAUGCAACACAAUAAUUCAUCUUUCCAUAUGAGAGGUACCACCAACCUCACGUUUUCAGGAUGCAUACAGGAGGGCAAUAUUUCUUGAAGCUGUUAUGCCUGUUUCAUCCUAUGCCAAGCCUUCCUUACCCUGCUCCUUAUUUUUCCUUCCCUUACUACUUAGAAAGGAGAAAUAGUGUAUUAGCAGGCAGAAACCAGCAGACUAGGAGACACUGAAAGUUAAAUUCUAUUUUAACGUCCUGGAGACAAAAGGAAAAAGCCCAGUACGUGUCAGGAUCAAACCACUGUUCUGCAUUUUAUACGCAGCCAAAAUGCAGAACAUUUUAUGGUGUGUUCCAAGACACCAAACGUGCUCUUUAACAAACCUUUAACUCUGACAUUAGCAGCUCAUAAGAUUAAAAUGGAACUAUGGAACAUU
This is a long non-coding RNA of Tympanuchus pallidicinctus (lesser prairie-chicken), 5853 nucleotides long. RefSeq lists it as uncharacterized. The transcript is spliced from 6 exons. The record is from RefSeq and is a predicted model, not a curated record. Lineage: Eukaryota; Metazoa; Chordata; Aves; Galliformes; Phasianidae.